AUUUGAACUUGAACUUUGAAACCCCUUUCUGUGUUUUGUCCUACCCAAGCAUUCUGGUUCAACAGGAACUAAAAUUGAGGAAGCAAGAUUUUCUUCUCGACAUGAGCAGGGUCCACCAAACGUGCAGAGUCCUGCAGCAUGGUCUGCUAUGGCUCGACUCAAUGUGUGGAACCAGUCCUCCCUCUCUCCAACUGAACUGAAGAGUGAAACAGACAAAUGAUCACUCCUGAUACUUCUGAAAGGAUUUUGGAUCAUCUAGGCAUCCAGAAAAUUGAGCUAAACUAAGCAAGUCAAAGGAGAAGACAAAAGAGAUGACAUCAUUGGUCACACCUAAUGUGUGCUCUAAACAUCCGCUGGGGCCGUAAAGGCAGCAUCCAGGAAUUCUCCACCCUGCUCCAGGGCUCCAGGCCUCCCCUCGCCCUUCCAGUCUUCUCAGGCUACACUGAGAACCAGGACUGGGUGGAACCGGCCACCUUCACCACAACAACAACAACAGAGUCGCAGUUACGGGUUCACUGGCUGGAGACAAAACAGUGCAUGAUAGCCAAGCCCGAGCCCCGCCUGCGACCUCUGGGCUGCAGCCACCGCAGUUCGUCUGCUCCACCCUGCACUGCUCAAAGAUUCCUUCCACAGAAACCCAAGCAAGUUUCAAGUCAGGAGACUUCACUAACGACUUUCCCAGAUGAGUCACAACAUGCACCUACUUAACCCCUUGGCACCUAAGAUAUUUACUUUCUCAACAGUGCCAUUUCAUCUCCUCCACUAACCCCUCACCUCCGUCACCUGCCUCUUUCACUCAUACUCUCUUCCCUCAGGCAGCUUUCUGUAUCUCCAUCCUCCUUCUAAUCCUUUACAUCACUCAUUCACCCUGCUUCUCUUUAUUCUUUUAGCCCAGGCUUGUGACAUGGUUGCAGCUUCUCUGAGUGAUGGCUUUCAUCUUCACUGUUGUUUGGAUUCUCCUUCCUUAAAAGCCCAUAAAUAACACCUGACCCACUGAAGCCAUCCACUUCAAGAGAGAAAACGGCCAUAUAACCCUAAUGGCCUGAAAGUAUCAACCACCAAACCUUUUCAGCAAUCGCUCAACUGCAGUCCUGGGACUGAGAAACUGAUGGAAUAAAGCUAAAUGAGGAUAAAAGAUAAAUAAAUCCACAUCUUUAUGUUAUUUUCUGUUUGGAUCAACUCAUAUCAGCCAAAAUCAUAAAUGCUGCUCCUGCGGAUAUGUAGCCCAAGCAUAAUUCACAACAUGAGACAGCACUGAUUGCACAUGGAACAAUAGAGUGGGCUUCACUAUUUCACGUUAUGUGUUUGUGUAGCACCACCACCACCCUGCCUCCUCCACCACGUCCUCCUCCCUGCAUUCUACAGGGUGUCUGGCCUUCACUUUGCUGUCAGUCCCCUCCCAAUACACAGGAAGCCAGCAUCCAGUGACCCACACCAAACAUCCUGUAAGGAAGUGGGGCCCUGGAAAACAAGUCCUGAGAGGGGAGAAGAGGAGAAGAGCAGAGAAGGAGGCCCUUUUUUGAUGGGUGUGGUGCCAAGUGGAGGUCCUUACAGCCUUGCCCUCAUGCACCCCCACCUCCCCUCCUAACAUCACCCACCUUGCAGGCUGACCUCCGCCCAACAUUCCCCCAUAUUUUCGUAGACCACACUGUUGUUGUUCUCGCCACAGUUUUAAUAAUAAUAAAUUAUUAUUAUUAUUAUUUAAAAUAAUAAUUUCAGAUCUUUACAAAACAUGGUGUGCACAAAUAUUGUUGAAACUAACCAAAGGUUUACCAAAUAUUCAAGGUAGAAUUUUGGGGAAUGGGUUAAACUGAACCUGGAUUUUAACAACGUAAAAAAGACAAUUUGACUGAUAUAAUACUUCCGAUUUCCUGCAGAUUUCCUGUUAGAUGAGAAGAUUGAUACUACUCUCAUGAUUGUAUGCUAAAUAUGAAGAUAAAGCCAGCAGAGAGUGGUGCAAACAGUGGUAAACAGCUAGCCUGGCUUUAUCUAAAGGUAAUAAAAUACACCUACCAACACCUCUGAAGCUCACUAAUUAACACGUUACAUCUUGGUUGAUUGAUCCGUACAAAAACCAUCGAAUGAGGUUGCCAGAAAACUACAGACUCAAGGAAGUCACUAAAUGGGCUGGCACAUAACCCCCCCUUGUAAAACCACCAAUUGUCUUUUUCUUUUUUACAUAAAUGAAAUAUAAGGUGUUAAUUAGAGGUGCUGGUGGGUGGAUUCAAGAUGUGGUUCCAAGACAAAUCACCCACCAGUGUGGCAUAUCAAGAUACUGAUUAAACAGCAUAACUAUGACACAUGUGUGUCUGGUCAGCCGCCCUAAUCUGCCUCUGAUUGGCUAGUACUCAUUGCCUUCGUUGGAAUAUCAGGACAAAAACAAACAUUUAUAUUUUUGUUCAGAUAUUUCUUUGAAACCGCAGAUGGAAACAAAAUGAGAAAACAGUGUUUAAAAGCUUAGACCCUAGUUUCACAGUCUGAUAAUAAUGUCUGAAAUUUAUCUGGGAUGAAGGUAG
This is a long non-coding RNA of Larimichthys crocea (large yellow croaker), 2516 nucleotides long. RefSeq lists it as uncharacterized. The transcript has 4 exons. Lineage: Eukaryota; Metazoa; Chordata; Actinopteri; Sciaenidae. The record is from RefSeq and is a predicted model, not a curated record.